Homo sapiens (human) is the source of this 353-nucleotide long non-coding RNA. RefSeq lists it as uncharacterized. The record is from RefSeq and is a predicted model, not a curated record. NCBI's taxonomy places the organism in Eukaryota, Metazoa, Chordata, Mammalia, Primates, Hominidae. The transcript is spliced from 4 exons.
GUUAAUGUCAAUGACCUAACAAGUGUUCUACAAAACACUGGGUUCAGACUCGAAGCAAAAGAAAUCAACGACCUGAAGACUCACAUGCCAGUGACUGGAAAAAAAGUCAAUGUCAGUAAUCUGGAAACUCUUCUAAAUAAUAUAGAAAUCGAAGUUGGGAAAGAGGAAUAUGAGGACCUACUGAACCAUCUGCCAGUUGAUGAAAAUGAAAUGGUUGAUGUGAAUGUGGUGAUGGAUGAAGCAAAAGCUUUUACAGGAGAAAAAGUUAAUGUCAGUAAUCUGGGGAAUGAGCUGAGGAAAAUGGGGCUCGUACUCACUGAUGAGGAGCACGAGAAGCUGCUGAAAACUCUGCC